CGGGAACUCAAAGGAGACUGCCAGUGAUAAACUGGAGGAAGGUGGGGAUGACGUCAAGUCAUCAUGGCCCUUACGAGUAGGGCUACACACGUGCUACAAUGGCAUAUACAAAGAGAAGCGACCUCGCGAGAGCAAGCGGACCUCAUAAAGUAUGUCGUAGUCCGGAUUGGAGUCUGCAACUCGACUCCAUGAAGUCGGAAUCGCUAGUAAUCGUAGAUCAGAAUGCUACGGUGAAUACGUUCCCGGGCCUUGUACACACCGCCCGUCACACCAUGGGAGUGGGUUGCAAAAGAAGUAGGUAGCUUAACCUUCGGGAGGGCGCUUACCACUUUGUGAUUCAUGACUGGGGUGAAGUCGUAACAAGGUAACCGUAGGGGAACCUGCGGUUGGAUCACCUCCUUACCUGAA
Molecule: ribosomal RNA, 408 nt
Filed under: Klebsiella sp. Lac1
Lineage: Bacteria; Pseudomonadati; Pseudomonadota; Gammaproteobacteria; Enterobacterales; Enterobacteriaceae
Description: bacterial SSU rRNA
Rfam family: Bacterial small subunit ribosomal RNA
Source: RNAcentral